This 204-nucleotide long non-coding RNA is filed under the name Lathyrus oleraceus (garden pea). Its description in RNAcentral is "Pisum sativum (pea) long non-coding RNA (PSAT_LNC035247)". The record is from RNAcentral. Lineage: Eukaryota; Viridiplantae; Streptophyta; Magnoliopsida; Fabales; Fabaceae.
AAAAACAAAAAGAAGGUCAUCAAAUCCUCAACAAAAACAAAAUAAGGUGACUGCCACUUCAAAAGAAAAUCAUCUUGAAUCUUCAUCUUCACCAUUCCUCCUUCGAACACUCUUGGAAGUUGAAUGCGUGUGUCAAUUUAACUGAACGUAGGAUUGUAGAUCAUCAUGAAGAAGGGGUGGGUUGAAAUUAAAUUUUGAGCCUUU